Molecule: transfer RNA, 68 nt
Filed under: Abia mengmeng
Lineage: Eukaryota; Metazoa; Arthropoda; Insecta; Hymenoptera; Cimbicidae
Description: tRNA-Cys
Source: RNAcentral
AAUUUUAUAGUUAAAUUAAUAACGUUAAAUUGCAAAUUUAAAAUUAUAAUUAAAAUUUAUUAAAAUUU